CCAUUACAUAAGCAAGAUGAACAACUUCCAAAGAAUGUCUCAAACACCAAGUGAAAUGGAAAUAAUAGGAAUUCCUUGUUUAUAUUGGAAUCUUUGGACCUCCUAGGGGAUGGUACCAUAGGGGAAAAAAGGACUUAAUUCAUUGUUUUGUGCUUGCUAAUUGAUUAUUUUAAACUUUUCUUACCUCUUUGAACCCCAGUAUCCUUAUCUAUGAAAAAGGGUAGUAAUAUAGUGUGGCUCAUAAUACUUUUUUGUGAGGAUUAAGUGACAUAAUGCAUGUGAGCAGCCUGAGAGAGAGAAGUCGUCAGUAAAUGUUAGUUCUUUUUUAUCCCAGUUCCCUCCUGACACACGUAUCGUGAUGAGGAAUCUAUUUCUUAUUCAGAAGAGGAGAGAGAAAACCUAGUAGGCUAUAAUCCCCAUUCGGAGACUUAGUCACUUUUAAUUUCCUUUUAUGAUAAGCUUCUAAGAGAGAAGCUUUAAUAGCACGUUAAAAGGUGAUCCUGAAGUACUGUUAAAUGUCAAAUAGGAAAUCUUUCAAAAACAUUUAUUUCCCCUUUCUGGUCUUCUACUCAGAAAUGGCUCUGAAACUUCUCUUUCGGGCCAUUCUGACUGGUUUCUGUUGCGCAUGCCGCCAGCAGAAGAAUAUGUAGCUGGUACCUUGCCUUGAUUAUUUUAAUUUGCAUAAACCAGUGGUUGUCAAAAUCACCCAGGAGGUGUGUUCAAAUGCAGGCUGCUGGGUUCCAUGCUGGGAGUUUCCCAUGUAUUAGUUAGCUCUGAGAUGGGGCCAGUGUCCAAGUAAUGCCGAUGGUCCCCGGAUCACACUUUGUGAUCUCCUGACUUAGAGUUUUAAGUCUUAAACUAUCAGAGGUCAAUUUUGGUUCUCCAGUGGCUUGAGGAUAAAUUUCAACCCCAUCUGUUUGACAUUCAGAAUCUCAAGCUAUCCUCCUAGGGUACUUCUAAGCAUCCUUCUAGAAAUUUCUGUCUAGUAAAAAGUUUCACUAAAUUUCAUUUUAUUUCUCUGUCUCAUUACAUUUGCUAACACCUCAUAACAAGGCUUAUUCAUACUGUUGAAAAAAAAGGCUGACUUAAAACUCAACAUUUGAAAAGCUAAGAUCAUGGCAUCCGGUCCCAUCACUUCAUGGCAAACAGGUG
RNAcentral lists this long non-coding RNA (1152 nucleotides) under Capra hircus (goat). Its description in RNAcentral is "lncRNA (ENSCHIG00010017736.1)". Lineage: Eukaryota; Metazoa; Chordata; Mammalia; Artiodactyla; Bovidae. The record is from RNAcentral.